GCAGUUUGGUCCAGGAAUUAUCACGUUCAUUAUUCCUCAUCUAGCAGCUCUCAAAUUGUUUUGAUGCAUUUGAUGCUGCUGAGCCAAAACUAUUUUAAUUAUAAGCCAUCAUUAUUGCAAAUUCUUCAGAUUUCAUGAUAAGUCUUAGGAUUUUUUACUAUCUUUCCCAAAGCCUCAGCUGUCAGAGUUGCUACGAAGCGCAAGGAUCCCAGUUUUCAUAUCUAAUACCCAGCUUGCAUGGAUGCAAGACACCCAGAGAUACCAUUAAUGUUUGGUCAAACGGUUUGCUCAUCUCUCAACUUGCUUUUUGGAGAACACUCUGGCAAGAGAAAGUGAUAGAACUCACAUCUUGCACACGCAUUACAGUGCAUCCCUUGAACAGGAAAUGUGAAGCUGAUAAUAGAGAAUAUUUGCACUGCAACUCCUCAGCUUGAGAAAGUCACGCUCCUCUGAUCUGGUACAGAAAUACAGCACGAUGACUCAUGAGCACUGAGCGUAUCAGGGUGUGCAUUGGGGUGAGAUGGGCUCAGCCCUGCCAAAAACCAAAGCAGGAGCUGAGGGAAGUCAAAGCAUCAAAGAUGCUGAAGCCCUUUAAGUGCACCUGCAGGCUCCUUCUCAUAUGCCUGAACUGAAACACGUGCAGCCAGAAACAAAUCCAUCAGCAGUCUCAACCGAAUGGACAAUUUGUGCAAGGAAAAUGAGGAGAAAGUCUGUGGGUAAAUUAUUUGUCACAAAUUAUUCACCCAGCUCUACCUGACAGAGCAGCAUUCUGCGUUUGAUCUCUGUGAGCGACUGUCAUGAGAAUCAAAGGGAGUUUUGUCAGGGGAUUAAGUGCAGAAGAUGUCGUCGAGAACUACAUUAAAGAUAAGAAAUCCAGAGUGUGGCCCAAAGUGGCUAAUCCCAGCACAACUAGUGAAUUAUUAAGUUGGUCAUUUGACAGAAGGAGGAAAAGAGGGGAAAAAAAAAAAAAAAGAAACCCAAAAAAACCCCAAACCGCAUCAACUGUUUCUGAGACUGCCUAAAAAGAGGCUUCUAUUAAAAUAUAAGGGUUGUAUAAUAAGAAAGCAAAGUGUGGUUCCAGCAGG
Molecule: long non-coding RNA, 1085 nt
Organism: Coturnix japonica (Japanese quail)
Lineage: Eukaryota; Metazoa; Chordata; Aves; Galliformes; Phasianidae
Source: Ensembl